CAAGGACUCAUUACUUUGGCCGGACAAUCCUCCAUGGGGGUGCAAAGUAUAGAGCCACCGGUAGGGGGUUUGUUGUUCGUCAUAUUAAGUUCUCAGAGAACUACAGGCUUUACUCCCGAAGCCAUUUUGUGAAGGGAUUGGAAGUUGUCCUUCUAUUGGUGGUCUACCUCGCAUAUAAGUUUACUCAAGGAACGGUCGCUUACAUUCUAUUGUCUGUUAGUAGUUGGUUCAUGGCAUUGUCCUGGCUUUUUGCCCCGUAUGUAUUCAAUCCAUCUGGUUUUGAAUGGCAAAAGACUGUGGAGGACUUCAGAGAAUGGACAAAUUGGCUUCUGUAUAGAGGUGGAAUUGGAGUUAAAG
RNAcentral lists this unclassified non-coding RNA (357 nucleotides) under Hevea brasiliensis (rubber tree). Lineage: Eukaryota; Viridiplantae; Streptophyta; Magnoliopsida; Malpighiales; Euphorbiaceae. The record is from RNAcentral.